AAAGUUUUAUUCUUGCUUAUGUAUUUAUUGUUUGGAUAUUUUACAUGUAAAUUUUUGUGGGUAAUUAAUGAAUCUAAAGGAUAUUAAUUAUUAUUCGCAGUAUUUGGUUUUAAUAAAUCAAGGGAACUUGGAAUUAGUAAUCUGAUGUAUGAUCGGCUAAAGUCGUGCCAGCUGCCGCGGUUAUACGUAGGAUAGAAAUAAAUUGUGUUAGUUAAUAAGUUAAACGGGAAGUUAAGAGAGAAGUUAAUUUUAUAGGUAAAAUUUGUUAAAUUAAAUGUUUCUUAUAGUAGGARAGUUGAAGCUUUGAAAAUUAAAGUUAAAACUAGGAUUAGAUACCCUAUUAUUUUAAUUGUAAAAAGAGGAGACUUGAGUAGUAUUAGUUAAGUGCUUGAAACUCAAAGAAUUUGGCGGUGUCUUAGUCUUUUCAGAGGAAUCUGUCCUAUAAUCGAUAUUACACGUUAAAUGUUACUUAAUUUGGUAUAGUCAAUUUGUAUACCGCCGUCAUAAGAUCAUCUUUUUAGAGAAAGAAUUUUCUUGAUAUUAUAAGAUAAUAUGUCAGGUCAAGGUGCAGUUUAUAAUUAAGUGGGAGAUGGAUUACAAUAAAUUUAUUUAAAUGGAUUCUUUAUUGAGACAUGAAGAUGAAGGUGGAUUUGAAGGUAAUUUUGUUAAAUUAUGAUAAAAUGAUUAAAGCUCUAGGACAUGUACACAUCGCCCGUCGCUCUCGUUAUUAAGAUGAGAUAAGUCGUAACAUAGUAGUCGUACUGGAAAGUGUGGCUAGAAAGU
RNAcentral lists this non-coding RNA (783 nucleotides) under Poecilimon luschani. RNAcentral's name for it is "12S ribosomal RNA". The stretch from base 369 to 777 matches the Rfam family "Microsporidia small subunit ribosomal RNA", at positions 752 to 1304 of the family's 1311-position model. Lineage: Eukaryota; Metazoa; Arthropoda; Insecta; Orthoptera; Tettigoniidae. The record is from RNAcentral.